GGCGAGACGGCAGCGGUGCUCGAAGCCGGGAGACAGCGGCGGCUCAGACGCAACGAGCGUCCACGUUCUGAAUAUUGGCCAUUGGCUUUCAUGCCAAGGCUGACCAAGUGCAGAGGCUGCUGGGCACAGAAGAUCUCUAAGUAAAGGUGACUGGCAACUGCUAGCUUCUCGCUGGAGGCUAGGGCAAAUGCCACAGACAUCUCUGUGUACCCCGCAACUGCUUCUGGACAGAAUUACAGAGACUCACUGCCUCCACAUUCUUCCCAGUCACUUCUGAACCAGCUGUCAUCUGGAUCACCUCCCAUCCUGACAUGACUUAUGUACUGUCAAAUGCAUGGGGGCCUGGCAUGGUGGGGAACCGCCUGGCAUAGACCCCUUCCCCCCAAAAAAGUUUUCUCAGGCUCCUUUGUAAUUUUUCUCUCUUGGGCCUCCAUCCCCAAUUCUUAGGCAACCACUGAUCUGCUCUCUGUCACUACAGAUU
Long non-coding RNA from Hyaena hyaena (striped hyena), 481 nucleotides. RefSeq lists it as uncharacterized. The transcript has 3 exons. The record is from RefSeq and is a predicted model, not a curated record. NCBI's taxonomy places the organism in Eukaryota, Metazoa, Chordata, Mammalia, Carnivora, Hyaenidae.